This 253-nucleotide ribosomal RNA is filed under the name uncultured bacterium. Its description in RNAcentral is "partial 16S ribosomal RNA". It matches the Rfam family "Bacterial small subunit ribosomal RNA", at positions 524 to 776 of the family's 1533-position model. The record is from RNAcentral.
UACGAAGGGGGCUAGCGUUGCUCGGAAUCAUUGGGCGUAAAGGGUGCGUAGGUGGUGAUGCAAGUCUGGUGUGAAAUCUCGGAGCUCAACUCCGAAAUUGCACCGGAUACUGCGUGACUCGAGGACUGUAGAGGAGAUCGGAAUUCACGGUGUAGCAGUGAAAUGCGUAGAUAUCGUGAGGAACACCGGUGGCGAAGGCGGUUCUCUGGGCCUUACCUGACGCUGAGGAGCGAAAGCGUGGGGAGCGAACAGG